RNAcentral lists this ribosomal RNA (253 nucleotides) under uncultured bacterium. RNAcentral's name for it is "partial 16S ribosomal RNA". It matches the Rfam family "Bacterial small subunit ribosomal RNA", at positions 524 to 776 of the family's 1533-position model. The record is from RNAcentral.
UACGGGGGGGGCAAGCGUUGUUCGGAAUUACUGGGCGUAAAGGGCGCGUAGGCGGCCUUCUAAGUCGGACGUGAAAUCCCUCGGCUUAACCGGGGAACUGCGUCUGAUACUGGAUGGCUUGAGUUUGGGAGAGGGAUGCGGAAUUCCAGGUGUAGCGGUGAAAUGCGUAGAUAUCCUGAGGAACACCGGUGGCGAAAGCGGCGCGCUGGACCUCUUCUGACGCUGAGGCGCGAAAGCCAGGGGAGCGAACGGG